Long non-coding RNA from Amphiprion ocellaris (clown anemonefish), 3125 nucleotides. RefSeq lists it as uncharacterized. The record is from RefSeq and is a predicted model, not a curated record. The transcript has 9 exons. Lineage: Eukaryota; Metazoa; Chordata; Actinopteri; Pomacentridae.
GAGAAGAGAGGAGCCUACAGGAGUGGAUCGUCUUAGCGGAGUUUUCCAGAAGUUUAAGUGUAGUAACGUGAGUCUACAGAUUAUUAGUAAUGUAUUCUGCAAAACCUGAAACUUUCAUACAAAGUUUGGAGGUAUGGAACUGUACUGACUGCUCUUUGGACAACUGAGUAGCGAUUAACAGACACGGACGUUGCGCUGCGGUUAGCUAGCACAGCUUGUUCGAGUAGCUUCGUCUGGACUGUUUUGGGAUUGUUUACUGAAAACAAGAAGCAGCUACCAGAUAGCGCUCUGAGCCACCAUGGAUGCUCAGAGUUCCUCUGGAGGACCUGCUGGACGUCACACCUUCACCUGCAUCCUGCUUCCUGCACUGGAAAAAAAUGCCCCUCUCAAAACAAGCAAAAAAACUUAUUUCGAGGAACUUUUACCUUGAAAUAAGUGAACAAAUCUGCCAAUAGAACAAGUGAAAAAUGGCUUGGUAAGAUUUCUUGAAAUAAGAUGUGAUAUUUAGAAUAUUGAGAUGUUAAAAUUAGCUGGGAAAACUUAUUUUAAGCUAUAUUUUACCAGGAUUGUCAAGCUUAGUUGUCUUAAAUAAGCCAGAAAAAAAAAAAAAAGCAGUUUUUCACUCAAAAAUAGAUUUUUGCUUUCAUGUAACCUCCUAAUUUGAGAUGUAUUAACCCUCCUGCUGUCUUCAUUUCCGGGCACCAAAAAAUAUUGUUUCCCUGUCUGAAAAAAAAUCCAAAAUAAUCUGCAACAAAAAUUCCCCAAAUGGCUGAAAAUUUGCAAAACCUUCAGGAAGAAAAUUCCAAUAAUUGCUUAAAAGUUUCCCUUAAAAGUUUUAUUUAAAAAAAAAAAAAAAUCCCCCAAAUUUGGCAAGAAAUUGUAAAUAUUGUCAAAAAAUGAGUAAAAAUCUUCCAAAAAAAUCCUAAAAAUGUCUAAAGUGAUUACAUAUAUAUAAAUAAAACUCCAAUUUUUUUCCUUAAGAACAUUCACAAAAAAAUUAACCAAAAUCCAGCGAAAUUCGCUGGAUUUUAGUUGAUUUUUUUGUGAAUCUUCUUAAGAAACAUUUUUAACGUUUCUUUUUUCCACCAAAAAAUGUUCAAAGAUUUCCCAAAAAUGUGCAAAAUGUUUACAUCAGAAGUUUCACUGUGAAAUUUUUUUUCCGCCUCAUUUUCAAACUUUAAAACGAGUCAAUUUUGACCCACAGGACGACACGAGGGUUAAACAUAUUUUGUGUUUUCUUGUAAAAUUCAACUCAAAACAAGAUAAUUUCCAGAUUGUUUGACUUAACAAGAUAUUUAAGAUGCGUUGUCUUAAAACAAGUGAAUUUAUCUUAAAUCGAGUGGGAUGAGACAUUUUAACUAAAAAUAAGACAAAUAGACUUGGUAAGAUUUUGAGUUUUUGCAGUGUGCUUCUUUUCUCCCAUCUGAUGCUCUUUGGACCACACACUCACACAUCUGGAGAGGUACUACCUGGAUUUUUGUUGUUUUCACUCGUUGGAGGAGAAGUGAGUAGUGAUUUCAACAAACUAAAGUGGAACAGGCCUGCAACGCUUUAUUGUAUUUCAGAGUUAUUUAUUUUGCCUGCUUAGUAUAGUGUUGUGUUUAUUGUUUAAAAUGUCCAAGUGUGAGGUGAAUUGCAUACAUUUAAAAAGAAAAUUGAAAGGAAAUAUUUUAUUUUUAUUAAUUUUUUUUAUUAAAAUAAGGAAUUAUUUGUGUACUUUAAUACUGUUUAUGUGUGUUAUUGUUGUUUAUAAAGAAAAGUUACAAAGUUUAAAGGUCCUUAGUUGUUUCUAGUGUUUAGAGUUACUUAACCUACCUAAAACUAAUAUUACAUUGAAUUGGCAGAUUUUCUUCCUUGAAAUAAGCCUUUUUUCUUGUUUUGAGAGUGGCAUUUUUUCCAGUAAGGUUUUCUAUCCAGUAGCAAAGAACCAGUGAUUGUGGUUCCAUGUCUCAGUUCAGAGCAGCUGCAUUUCUGCAUGUUCAUGUUUACGCUCUUAUACCUUCAUCUUCUUCCUGCGGAUCUCUGCGUGUGUCAAACUGUCGGCUUUGGCCAGUAAUGGAAUGAUGUUGACUUUCUCAUGCAAGGCCUUCAUACACUCCACAUCCAGAGGUCGAAGGCUGAAGUAAGACGUGUUGUCGUACCCGUGGCCAAACGGAGAGAUGAAGUAGAGGCAGCAGUGGACUCUGUUGUCCUGGAUGUUCCUUCUGUUCAACCCGCUCUCAUCUCUGAAGUACUGCUCAAACUGCUGGUCGAUGUAGUCCUCCAGGUCCUUAAAGCUGACGCAAACACAUAAAGACUCUGUGAGGAGGAGAACAAUGACUUCACCAUUCUGUGUUGUUGACGGCAUCUCCGAAUCCCGGUGUGUCGAUGAUGGAGAGCCUCAGUUUGAUUCCUUUCUCCUCGAUGCUGAUGGUGUGUUUGAUGAUGUCGAUUGUUUGGCUAAUCCGCUCUGCAGACACAUACAUGUGCAGGCGGCAGAUCGAGUUGUGUCGUCGACAGGAGCAUCCGGGUCUGCGGGGAAGUUGCGGCUGACUUCACUUUUGGAGUUACAUACAGUGUUUGAGGCCUACCUCGUCUGGGGAAAUAUUGCGGACUGGGAUGCCGUUGACCUCCAGUACUCGAUCACCCACGUGAACAGAAGACAGCAGGUCAUCGCUGAGGACAGCUGAGUCUAACCUGAGGCAGAGGAACAGUGAUUGAAUGGAUGGAGAAAAGGUGAGUGACUAGAAGGCUUUUGUCUUGGCUGAAGUCAGUGACAACAGUUAGGCCUCGUCGACCGACUGCAUGGGGAGGGAGAGACACCAGCGCCACCAUGUGGGGACUCUUGGCAGUCCACAGCUGUCUUACCUGGAUAGCCUCCACCAGCCACCCCUCCAAAACCAGGGCCAGCACCCCCUGCUGGAACAGUAAACACAUUACAGCCAGCAAAGCAUCUCCGGUCUGAAUCAGCCGGCAGCCACCUGGUCCUCCUCCUACUCCCUGGCCUGGUCCUCCAGGGCCUCCUGCCUGCCCUCCUACACCACCUAAACAGAAACUCACCUGGACCGCCUCCACUGAUUCCUACUGUUCCAGUACUAGGAAGGCCUCCUGCUACACCACCUGAUGCACAUAGGUGUGUUUGAGGU